Long non-coding RNA from Triticum aestivum (bread wheat), 4795 nucleotides. RefSeq lists it as uncharacterized. NCBI's taxonomy places the organism in Eukaryota, Viridiplantae, Streptophyta, Magnoliopsida, Poales, Poaceae. The record is from RefSeq and is a predicted model, not a curated record. The transcript is spliced from 9 exons.
UCCCUCGUGCUCCUCGAGCCCCGCGUCCAUCCUCCUCCCCCGCUCUCCACUCCCCACCCUCCCCCCACACAGCCGCCGCCUCUUCCCUUCCCUCCUCAUCUCGAGCCCUUCCCAGCCGACGGAGGAGCCCCCAUCCCAAUCCCGCGUCGGAGUUCAGAGGCAGGGGAGGUGUGGAUCGAUGAUGGUGUAGCAAAGAAGAGGAUGGGAGAUCGAGGAGGGAGCGAGCCGUUGCAGAGGAGAUGGGAGAAGGGGGUGCGCGGUGGUGAGGCAUCGGCACCGGAGAAGCAGAUCCGCGGUGCGCGGUGAAGCGGGAUAGGUGACGCCGACCGGCGCUCGCGGGUACGUCCUGCGGGAUGAGGCCGCAGCUCCAGUCUUCUCCCCGCGGUGGUCCACGGCGCUAUCACUGUCGUCCUCAGCAGGAGGAGCGCGGGACGCAGAGGCGGCCGGCUCCGUCCUGCUCUUGUGCCGCCGUACCUCUGCCUUUCUCGUCCGCCGCGCCUCAGGCUAGCAGGUGGACGGCACGGAGAGCUCUCGUCACAAGACACAGGAGGAUGGCUCUCGCCGACGCCGCGCUCUGCUCCUCUCGCCUCUGCCGCGCUCUGCUCCGGCUCGUCCUCGCCGCGCUCUGCUCUGGCUUGUCGUCACCGCGCUCUGCUCCGGCUUGCCACCGAAAAGGUUGUGCUUUCGGUCCAAGGAGACGAUGGGUCGCCGGAUCCGUCGGCCACCCCAUGGACUUCGCCUGGAACGCGGGCUGGGAGGCGGCGCCGCCAGCCUGCAACCCCGACCCCGACCAACCCGGCGCCGCAGAAGGUGGAGGCGGAGUCCAUGAUGCUUGUCUCCGGGCCGCGCGUCGCCGUCUCCGGGCUGAGGCGAGCCGACUGCCGCGCAGUGCCUGCUCUCAUGAAGAUGAAUGUGUCAUGUUCGUCAAUGCCGGUGGGUAUAUCUGAAAAAACUGCAAAGGAAGCAGAAGACAAUGUGCUCCCGAGAGAGAUGCACAAUAUUCAAUACUCUUAUGUCCCGCACAAUGCACCGCACAAGGUCCCUGCUCCCUUCCCUGCUGCAGUGAGGAGACGAGAGAGGAGAUUGCUGGAUCUGGAAAUGGAGGUCAGCACCACCUACAGGACAAGAGCGCCGCUCCUCUCCGACUCUUCAAGUCUCUCAUGCUCUGCUCUUUGCUCUGGCUGAAUUAGAAGGUUAGGUGUGACAAAAAAACUGAAACUUUAUCUCCUAAUAUCCCUCCAUUUUUGCAAAAUCAAAUUUGUGUCAGCUAUGUGACCAAUGAUCAUACACUUGUUUCGAAUAAUCAUACGCUUAUCAAUUUCCACGGACAGGUUAAUGGUGUAUACCUGCUUCUGAGCUGCCAUGCAGAGACUCUGUUAUCUCUUGAAUUUAUCCACUGCCAACUUUAUCCUGCAGUCAUGGAUAAAGUUUGCAUUAGUCUUUGCCAGCCAGGUUCCCAAAACUACAAGUUCUAGUCCUUUUAUUCUGCCUUGGUCCUAAUGUUAAUUUUUCUGCCAUAUGUUAAAUUUUUUGUCAUAUGUAGGCCAACAGAUAACUUGUGUAUGUUCAUCUAGCUGCAAAAGAAACUUAUGACUUGUGUCGUCAGUAAAAAAAAUAGUAGAUAGUUGAAAGGACCAGGCACUGCCAUUUGCUUGCUGUGUUAUACUCUCAAUGAAUCUUAAUUAUUUCUGAUAUGUUUCAGUUAUUUUAUUUCAACAAAUGACAAGACUAAUCUGUCAUUCACAAUGUUUUUGCAGCUAGCAUUAAAAGCUGAUGUGUUUUAUAACAGAGUGACAAAUAUGACUAUUUGGGGAAACCAUUCAACAACUCAGGUUCCUAAUUUCUUGAAUGCCAAAAUUAAUGGGAGGCCAGUAAAAGAAGUCAUCAAAGAUACAAAGUGGCUAGAAGAGGAUUUUCCGAUAACUGUUCAAAAGGUACAUGGAGAAGGUGGUGGUGCCGCCGAGGCUGUUGCUCCCGGUGUUAGAGAGGGCGUCGCUGACCGAUGCCGCCGGCUUGCCCGAGGUGGCCUGCACGUCUUCAUGACCAGCCAUCUCCCCAGGUGAAUCCCUUCCCUUUAGGAAAAUCUAUCUAGCUAAUUUGUUUGUUAGGAUUGCAGAACGUGAAUCUUCCUUAGUCAUCACCAAAUUGACAUGCUCUGACUAACUGAAAAACAACAAAGUAUUGAAUGGUGCUACUCGAAUGGAGUAUGAAAUGAUUUAGUAAUCACUUGUAUGCAAAAAGAGGUGCACAAUUUGAUGUUGUGAGAAUUGAACUGGAACGGAAUUUUCAUGCCUAUGUUUUUUUCCAUGUCGACCUAUCUCCAGUCGUAUGCAGAUCCACAGUGGAUCAAGCGGAAUUGGCACAUUUGCUAUACAGAUUGCAAAGCGCCUUGGAAUCAAGAUUUUUGUCACUGCAGGUUUAUUGGUUCAGAUAGAUACAGUAUAUAUGGUACAAAGUUGUUUUCCGGAAGCAACUCUGUUAUGCCGCUCUAGAAAGCCAAAGAGAAACUAACCGCUUGCGACGUUUAAGGUGUGGAUAUAUGCAGAAACUACAAAACCUUUGUAGCACGUAUCGAAGAAGAAACUAAUGGAAAUGGUAUUAUCCUGCCAUCCUCUUGUGACGCUUGAUGCCCUGAUGCAAAAGUAAAAUAAAAUUAUUUGGCUUUACCAAGUUAUACCCGUCAAUUUCAUAUACAUUAUAACUGUAAUAUGUGGAAUAUCUCUACAAGACCUUGAUGUCAUUCUGGACAACGUAGGCAGAUCUUACCUCCAAGGCACUCUGGAUAGCUUAGCAGUUGAUGGUAGACUUUUCAUCGUUGGUUUCAUGUGAGGCGCUGUAAUUGAAGUGAACCUGCAGGCGAUGCUUGCCCGAAGACCGCCUGUACAAGCAUCUCGCACAAUGUAUUCAGAGAGAUGCUGCCACUGGUGAUACAUCUGUGCGAAGCCAGAUCCAGAAUGAGUCGACAGAGUUGGGAAUAGCGAUACAACAUCUGGGGGCUAUGCUUUUGAGCUUGGACGGACAAUGAUGACGCUUAGAAUGGGGCCAUCUCCUGUAUGCAUUUUUCUACUAUGUCACUAUCACACAAGUGAUUCACAAGGUUUAAGUAUUCUUAUAGCUUUUUUAUUUUGUAGGCUAAUGUUUUUGUAAAUGCUGGGCAUGCUGCUUAUACAAACCCCACUGGACCAAGUCCAAUCAUGGUUCAGGCUACCUGUAUAGCUUUGCUUUCCUAUCAUGAACUGCUGACAACUUUGUUUUGGGCUAUCAUGCUAGCAUGCACUGUAACAUAUAUCACUAUGUAUUAACAUGCUACCUAAGUAUCUAUUUCUUUAUACAUUAAGGAUCUUAUUAUCAGUCCUUAAACAAAUUUUACGUGCAUGAUUUGAAUGCUUGGUUUGCUGUCGCCCUUUGCACCAUCGGCGCAACGGGUGGUUAGCUGCUUUUUUAUGUGUGAGAAUGUUAGGAAUGUUUCUAUAUGUGCCCAGAUUUAUUUGGUGUGCCUGCUAUGUUUCACUUUCACUGCUCUUUGUUGAAUAAAUUGAGAAAUUCUUGAUUCUUUUUAUGUUAUUUCUUUACAUGAAGGAUCCAGAUUAAAAUCUAAUGUGUUAUUCUUGCUGGCUUAGUUUAAACAAAUGCAUUUUAGAUCACCUACUUCUCAGUUCAUGAUUUUUGAUUCGGUGUGUUGCAGCUGAUUACCGGAACACACUCACCCAAAGUGUCGAUCUACAUCCAUACAUAAUUUACUAAAAGAAAUUUUUUUUAGUUGUUUCUGCAUAGGCCUCUUGGUAUUUACUAGGUCACCUUCGAGAUUCGUUAACUAACAUACAUAUCCUAUCUACGCUUUUCACAUCCAUAUAAUGAUGCCAUGUUUUUCCUUUUGAGUAGACGAUUCUUUAUUUAUUAACCUAUACAUCAAUAUGUUGUUUCCAUUGAUCUCAUAGUACUUUUUUGUGUGUUUCUUUAUCUUGGGCUGAAAACUUAUUGUCGGUUCAAGCUAUUUUUAAGUCAUGUAUACUAUGGAAGUUGUGUAAAAGAACGUUUACUGAAAUGUUAUGUAAAACCUAUGGCUCAAAGCUAAGCUUCGGUAAAUUGGAAUAUUUAUAGAUAUAUUUGGGAGUUUCAUUAGAUUAAUCUGGAAUUUCAAACUAAUCCAUUUAAUUAUUUGAGAGCACCAGCAACACAAUUUUUGAAAAAAAAACAUGCCCACCAAACGAAGGGCAUGGCUAUGUUGUCCAUUUAUGCAAAUCUCUAGGAAGGAGAAACCCUCAAGAACUGCUAGGAAGGAGAAAGCCCUCCACGUCUCCGAGCCUGACUAUGCCUCCCUCGCGGCGAGGAUUGCUGUGUCCAACCUGCCGCCAAGUGGCUAGCCGCCAAGUGGAAAUAGUCUGUGUGGCGCUCGUAAAUAGAGAGCAUUCUGGUAGAAAGCUGAAGGAUUAGUGAGACUGACUAAAUUCUGAACAUGUUCCAUGUGAGAGAAAUAACAUGUUGAUUUCAUCUUGAAAUAAUCAUAGCCGAGGGACGAGGUUCGUAACUGAGGGUCAUGUGAAGAGCUGGAGGAAGAAGUUGCGAGGCUUGGAACUCUCCUUGUGAAGGGCUCAGGGACAGCAGUGAGGACUAUGCCUCUUUAGUUGUAAUUGUGAUACUCCUGAUGUGCAAGUAAACACUCCUGUGAUACUCCUUAUGCUACAAUGUUGGUUGUUAGUACAGAGGUGGUGACAUUAUUUGGUUCUUUGGUAUUGAUUUCAUGAUUUGUGGUUAAUACAUGACGUAAUACAAUCCACAUUGCAUUAUAUUUCCA